This 492-nucleotide ribosomal RNA is filed under the name uncultured bacterium. RNAcentral describes it as "partial 16S ribosomal RNA". It matches the Rfam family "Bacterial small subunit ribosomal RNA", at positions 30 to 507 of the family's 1533-position model. The record is from RNAcentral.
AUUGAACGCUGGCGGCAUGCUUUACACAUGCAAGUCGAACGGUAACAGGCCUUCGGGUGCUGACGAGUGGCGAACGGGUGAGUAAUGCAUCGGAACGUGCCCAGAGGUGGGGGAUAACGCAGCGAAAGCUGUGCUAAUACCGCAUGUGAUCUGAGGAUGAAAGCGGGGGACCAGGCAGCAAUGUUUGGCCUCGCGCCUUUGGAGCGGCCGAUGUCGGAUUAGGUAGUUGGUGGGGUAAAGGCCUACCAAGCCGACGAUCUGUAGCUGGUCUGAGAGGACGACCAGCCACACUGGGACUGAGACACGGCCCAGACUCCUACGGGAGGCAGCAGUGGGGAAUUUUGGACAAUGGGCGCAAGCCUGAUCCAGCAAUGCCGCGUGAGGGAAGAAGGCCUUCGGGUUGUAAACCGCUUUUGUACGGAACGAAAAGGCUCUGGCUAAUACCUGGGGCUGAUGACGGUACCGUAAGAAUAAGCACCGGCUAACUACGUG